This 189-nucleotide unclassified non-coding RNA is filed under the name plant metagenome. RNAcentral describes it as "partial contains small subunit ribosomal RNA and internal transcribed spacer 1". The stretch from base 1 to 46 matches the Rfam family "Eukaryotic small subunit ribosomal RNA", at positions 1786 to 1831 of the family's 1831-position model. The record is from RNAcentral.
AAGUCGUAACAAGGUUUCCGUAGGUGAACCUGCGGAAGGAUCAUUAUUGUACUUAAGGGUCACCAAUUUGAAGACCUCAGAUUGGUGAUCAUCAGUACAUACCUAUAUAAUAGGAGCAAAAAGUAUUUAAAAACCCCCCACACUUAAAAAUUUAAUGUAUAUUUUUACUAUAAAGUAAUUAAAAGAUCA